CCUACGGGUGGCAGCAGUGAGGAAUAUUGGUCAAUGGACGAGAGUCUGAACCAGCCAAGUAGCGUGAAGGAUGACUGCCCUAUGGGUUGUAAACUUCUUUUAUAUGGGAAUAAAAUGUUCCACGUGUGGGAUUUUGUAUGUACCAUAUGAAUAAGGAUAGGCUAACUCCGUGCCAGCAGCCGCGGUAAUACGGAGGAUCCGAGCGUUGUCCGGAUUUAUUGGGUUUAAAGGGAGCGUAGGUGGAUUGUUAAGUCAGUUGUGAAAGUUUGCGGCUCAACCGUAAAAUUGCAGUUGAAACUGGCAGUCUUGAGUACAGUAGAGGUGGGCGGAAUUCGUGGUGUAGCGGUGAAAUGCUUAGAUAUCACGAAGAACUCCGAUUGCGAAGGCAGUUCACUGGACUGCAACUGACACUGAGGCUCGAAAGUGUGGGUAUCAAACAGGAUUAGAUACCCCUGUAGUC
This 460-nucleotide ribosomal RNA is filed under the name uncultured bacterium. RNAcentral describes it as "partial 16S ribosomal RNA". It matches the Rfam family "Bacterial small subunit ribosomal RNA", at positions 338 to 795 of the family's 1533-position model. The record is from RNAcentral.